RNAcentral lists this long non-coding RNA (1088 nucleotides) under Numida meleagris (helmeted guineafowl). Its description in RNAcentral is "lncRNA (ENSNMEG00000006656.1)". Lineage: Eukaryota; Metazoa; Chordata; Aves; Galliformes; Numididae. The record is from RNAcentral.
AAACUACUAUUUUUACGAAAUAAAAACUCAACCAGAAUGUUCAUGCAGAUGCCAUUUAAUAUUUUUUAAGCACUGAAAUUGCUGGGCAGAUGAAGCAGAGGGAGCUGACAGCUCUCCGCUCCCGGCAGCCUCAGGGCCCAGGGCUCUGGCACGGCUUACAGUGCACGGGACCUCUUGGUGCAGCUCUGGUUGCUGCCUUGUUCUUCUUUGCAAGCUGUUGACCGAAAUAGUCUGACUUUUUCUUGAAUCUCAGUCAGGAUGCCAAUUUUUUGACUCAGGAAUGAUUCAAACUUCAGAGCAUAUAGAUCUACAUUCCUGUCUACUCCUUCAGCCACCUCUGUGAAUGCUUUCAACCACUGCAGAGAUUUCUGAUGCUUCUCUGGAAGUAUUUUCUCAUUUAUCUCUUUUCUCUUUUUCAGGGUUUUUCCCCCGGCAUUUGAAGUGCAUGCCUUGAACAACAUUUCCUUAUAUCUCUGCUGUGGUAACCUGGACAUGAUCUGAACAGGUGGUUCAAGGGAAUUUAAAUCCACAACCAGCUCCUUCACACGGUUGGCAUACCGCAGGGUGUUAAGGGUGUGCUCGCAGGAUCUCAUUCCUGGAGAGAUGGUGGCAAUCAUGCAGGUAUAUGAGUUUUCCCCUAUAAGAGAGUCCCUCAGGACCUGGGUCAGUUUGCUAGUCCUGAAUGGGGUAUGGGCUUUGUUACGCCCCAGUGCCCUGAUACACUCCUUGAGUGCCAAGAGGCUUUUAUUAAUGUCAGCCCCCUCCAGCCUCGUGCGCUUGUCUGCAGUUGUAUUGUCAGCUCCUCUCUCAUUCCCAGCCAAAUCAAUUAGGGAAAAUUUGGCAUACAAAUGCCCUCUCUUCUUGAGUAUGAUCUGGUGACCUCUUCCUCCCACAGGCCUACCACCUGGGUCUGCUUUUUACCAUUUUCUAGCACCCUCAGCCUCUUCUUCCUGUUCAGCAGGUCAAACACUUUGCCCCUAUAAAUCUCAAAGAAGGCCCCGUAGACCGAAAGGUCCAGUUUCUGGUAAUUAGGGUACUGCAGUCUGCGGAAGACAUCCUCAGCAACCAAGAUGUAGAUUCCUACGCUA